RNAcentral lists this ribosomal RNA (253 nucleotides) under uncultured bacterium. RNAcentral describes it as "partial 16S ribosomal RNA". It matches the Rfam family "Bacterial small subunit ribosomal RNA", at positions 524 to 776 of the family's 1533-position model. The record is from RNAcentral.
UACGUAGGUGGCAAGCGUUGUCCGGAUUUACUGGGCGUAAAGGAUGCGUAGGCGGACAUUUAAGUCAGAUGUGAAAUACCCGAGCUUAACUUGGGUGCUGCAUUUGAAACUGGGUGUCUAGAGUGCAGGAGAGGUAAGUGGAAUUCCUAGUGUAGCGGUGAAAUGCGUAGAGAUUAGGAAGAACACCAGUGGCGAAGGCGACUUAUUGGACUGUAACUGACGCUGAGGCAUGAAAGCGUGGGGAGCAAACAGG